CAGCCGCCGCGGUAAUACGAAGGGUGCAAGCGUUAAUCGGAAUUACUGGGCGUAAAGCGUGCGUAGGCGGUUUGUUAAGUCUGCUGUGAAAUCCCCGGGCUCAACCUGGGAAUGGCAGUGGAUACUGGCAAGCUAGAGUGUGUCAGAGGAUGGUGGAAUUCCCGGUGUAGCGGUGAAAUGCGUAGAGAUCGGGAGGAACAUCAGUGGCGAAGGCGGCCAUCUGGGACAACACUGACGCUGAGGUGCGAAAGCGUGGGGAGCAAACAGGAUUAGAUACCCCCGUAGUCCCUGUCUCUUAUAA
RNAcentral lists this ribosomal RNA (301 nucleotides) under uncultured bacterium. Its description in RNAcentral is "partial 16S ribosomal RNA". It matches the Rfam family "Bacterial small subunit ribosomal RNA", at positions 509 to 809 of the family's 1533-position model. The record is from RNAcentral.